UGGAUCCAGACUUUGAUUCUGGCUCAGGACGAACGCUGGCGGCGUGCCUAACACAUGCAAGUCGAGCGGGGAACAUUGAAAGCUUGCUUUUGGUGUUUCUAGCGGCGGACGGGUGAGUAACGCGUGAGCAAUCUGUCUCAGACAGGGGGAUAACGCAGCGAAAGUUGCACUAAUACCGCAUAAGACCACAGAGCCACAUGGCAUAGGGGUCAAAGGAGCAAUCCGGUCUGAGGUGAGCUCGCGUCCCAUUAGGUAGUUGGUGAGGUAACGGCCCACCAAGCCUGCGAUGGGUAGCCGACCUGAGAGGGUGAUCGGCCACACUGGAACUGAGACACGGGCCAGACUCCUACGGGAGGCAGCAGUGGGGAAUAUUGGGCAAUGGGGGAAACCCUGACCCAGCAACGCCGCGUGAGGGAAGAAGGUUUUCGGAUUGUAAACCUCUGUCCUAAGAGAAGAGGGGAAGACGGUAUCUUAGGAGGAAGCCCCGGCUAACUACGUGCCAGCAGCCGCGGUAAUACGUAGGGGGCGAGCGUUGUCCGGAAUGAUUAGGCGUAAAGGGCGUGUAGGCGGCUUUAUAAGUCUGGAGUGAAAGUCCUGUUUUCAAGAUGGGAAUUGCUUUGGAUACUGUAGGGCUUGAGUGCAGGAGAGGUUAUCGGAGUUCCCGGUGUAGCGGUGAAAUGCGUAGAGAUCGGGAGGAACACCAGUGGCGAAGGCGGGUAACUGGACUGCAACUGACGCUGAGGCGCGAAAGUGUGGGGAGCAAACAGGAUUAGAUACCCUGGUAGUCCACACUGUAAACGAUGAAUGCUAGGUGUAGGGGGUAUCGACCCCUUCUGUGCCGGAGUAAACACAAUAAGCAUUCCGCCUGGGGAGUACGGCCGCAAGGUUGCAACUAAAAGGAAUUGACGGA
Molecule: ribosomal RNA, 910 nt
Filed under: uncultured Bacillota bacterium
Lineage: Bacteria; Bacillati; Bacillota
Description: bacterial SSU rRNA
Rfam family: Bacterial small subunit ribosomal RNA
Source: RNAcentral